UACGUAGGGGGCAAGCGUUGUCCGGAAUUAUUGGGCGUAAAGAGCGUGUAGGCGGUCCGGUAAGUCAGCUGUGAAAGUCAAGGGCUCAACCCUUGAAAGCCGUUUGAUACUGUCAGGCUAGAGUCCGGAAGAGGCGAGUGGAAUUCCCGGUGUAGCGGUGAAAUGCGCAGAUAUCGGGAGGAACACCAAUGGCGAAGGCAGCUCGCUGGGACGAUACUGACGCUAAGACGCGAAAGCGUGGGGAGCAAACAGG
This 253-nucleotide ribosomal RNA is filed under the name uncultured bacterium. Its description in RNAcentral is "partial 16S ribosomal RNA". It matches the Rfam family "Bacterial small subunit ribosomal RNA", at positions 524 to 776 of the family's 1533-position model. The record is from RNAcentral.